CUCAAGCCCGCUCCGGCGGCACC
RNAcentral lists this ribosomal RNA (23 nucleotides) under Gibellulopsis nigrescens. RNAcentral's name for it is "partial 28S ribosomal RNA". Lineage: Eukaryota; Fungi; Ascomycota; Sordariomycetes; Glomerellales; Plectosphaerellaceae. The record is from RNAcentral.